UAAUGCUUUGCUGCACCCAAAAUGAAAAUAUUCACUGCAUCAAUAAAUUUUUUUGCAUCAAUCUAUGUCAAUGGCUCUUCAAUUCCUUCCCACUAUCCUCUUCAUAUGCAAAAUGAAUCUAACAUUCCACCCUCAUCUUCGGACUCCUACGAAACGUUGUCCAUAUCAUUUUGAAACAAACAAAAACAAACCUAUGCAAACUUCUGCCUCUCUAUUUUUCAAUUUUCCACACUUCAACUCUUCUUUCUCUUUUUCUUUUUCGUGAAUCAAUCGCUCCUUCAAUCUUACGCUCUAUUCCUCUUCCUCUAUUUUAUUACAUGACUAUGGAAUUAAUGAAUCAAGCAACGAAAUGCAGGUGAUGCAUCUCCCGAUCUAUGUUCUACUUCCUCUGUUUUACAUCUUCUUCUUCAUUCUGCUAUUGGUUCGUGCAUUGAAGCUUGGAUCGACGAGGUCGAGCCAGUUGGGGAUGUGAUUUAGCCUAGAUUGUUGAGCAUCGUUGCUGCGAAGGUGAAGCUGAAUCGAUAAUGAAGAUGGAUUGACAUUUUGUAAGGUGCGAUGGUGUCGCUAAUGAUGUGAAGGCUGGGAAUCGUGAGUUGAAGGAGAUGAAACGAAGUUUCAGUUUAAAACAAGGUGAUGUAUUUUUGGAACUUGCUGCGCUCUGAGUUUUUUGAUGUAGUGUCUGAUUCUGUUUUACAGGUGCUGUAUGAAACGAUGGAUGAAAUUGCCAAAAGAGAUGUUGUAGCUGUUGCAAUUUUGUUGCGUGAAUGGCUGAGGUUUCGGUUCGAAGAAGGAUAUUAUGGCUUUGCUGAUUAUUGAAUUCGAUGAGGUAUGCCGUGUGUUCUUUUUGCAUGUUUUGGAAGAGGAUUUGGGUCUGAUUGAAGAUUGGUUUUAAUGAAAACUGGUGUUGAGUGGAGAUGUUUGGUGAUGAAGUUGUGCAAAAUCGUUGUGGUGACCGGUUCAGAUUUUUUAGAAGGAAACGCGUGGAUCCAUCUAUACCAACGGAGCCGCGAACAGUUUAUGAGGUCGAAAGUGGUGAAACUAAGAAGGUUGCCACUUAAAAGCACCAUUGAUGCCGGAUGCAAAUGCUGGAAAUUACGCAUCAAAAUGUCAGCUUGACUUGGUGGAAGUUACCAAGUCAUGGUUGAAAGAGACACUAUCACUUCAUCUAUUCAAAACUAGCAUGGCACUGUGUAUCCUAAUUCUGAUUUGCGUGAUGUAUCAUGCUCGAGCCCGUCUUACACGUAUCUUUGGACUACUCAUGCUUGAAAUAAAACAAAGCUCUGACAACUAAUAUAGUAGGUUACAAUUUUCCGAGUUAAUAGGCACACUCAAGUUUUGUUUAUUAAUGGAAGUAAUUGUAUGUGAAUUCAUAAGGUUAUGUUUUUGGUGUUCUGUAUCAUGACAUGAGUUUAGCUUUAUGAAUUGAAUUUGCUUCUGUAAGCUAUCAAAAUACAAUGGCUUUGCAUGUUUUCCCCGUUAUUAUAAAAGUUAAAACACACUGACAUGAACUUUUCGAAGUAUUUAGUAUAUCAAAUAUGAUUCAUAGUAAAAUCCAUCUUCAUAACAGAAAUGCAUAGGAGAGGCAAGAUGCACAGUAACUGUAUCAAACAGAAAUUUUGGGCAUGACCCGUUUCCGGACGUGUUGAAGCGGUUAUCAGUUAAAGUUAUUUGUGGUCCAACUAAUGGGGCUGUUUAGUUAACAAAGCUUCGUUUUUUAAGUGUUAUUUUCAGUGAUUUAUUAGCAAGUUGACAUAUUAAUAAGAGUAAAUUAGGUAAAGUAAGUCCCAUGGUUUUUUUAGGACAGUAAGUAGCUCUGUUUUUAUACAUGUUGUGCCAAAGGCACAUGGUUUUAGUUAAGCAGUGUUGGAUAGGUGAAUCUGAAAUCAAGGGUUUAAAAAUUGUAUCCUUUUGAGUGUGAAUUUGGAGUCAGGAUAUCUUAACUGCUGGUUGUUUGUAUCUGACAGGAUAUCCCCACAGUGCAGAAUUCUCAGAAUUUGAAUGUCCUUGGUGUUAAGGAAUAAGGAUGAUGAUUUGCUAAUGAUGACGGUCUCUAGAGCCGGGUUUAGUGCUGGUGUUGUUGCCUCGUGUUAACUACAAAAGUAUUGUUUGUAUUUUUAGUGAAUUAUUUCAAUAUGUUUGUAUUUUUAGUGAAUUGUUUCAAUAUUAUUUUAGCUGUAAUAUAAUUGAUAGUGUAUUAAUAGUGUAUAUUAAUUAUCAGAUUUUAUUAAUAUUUUGGACCAUUGUUUUACCUAAUUACAUUGUUUUACGUGUGAAACUUGGAUUUGGGAAGAUAUUACUCUAUUUUUGUUUUCAAUGAUAUCUCAUGCACACUUUCUUGAGUUUCCAAUGCAGACUAUUUCUUUUUCUUUUUAUAUGAAAAAGUUAAUUCAUUAUUCAACUUUUUGUCUUUGC
Vicia villosa (hairy vetch) is the source of this 2412-nucleotide long non-coding RNA. RefSeq lists it as uncharacterized. NCBI's taxonomy places the organism in Eukaryota, Viridiplantae, Streptophyta, Magnoliopsida, Fabales, Fabaceae. The transcript is spliced from 4 exons. The record is from RefSeq and is a predicted model, not a curated record.